AUUGACCCGUCCAUAUGAUCUGUCAAAUAAUGGGUUAUUUGGACGGGUCAAUAACACAUGUUUUUGAAAAAGCAUGAGUAAACUUCAAGACGGGUAGUUUUUGAUCUUGUCUAAAUUUCGUCAGUCAUCCGAGAAGCAAAAACGAUGACGUGAUAGAAAUUGCAGUCUGAAAAAACGAUGUGACUCAACAUUCCGGCAUUUCAACGGCAAGCUGCGGACAAAAAAAUGGACAGAUCGCCAAUUUCGUCUUCCAAUGAUAAAGGAUAAAGAUUUCUGCAUCCUUUGGCCUGGUGUGUUGCUGUUGUUUAUAUUAAAAAAUAUAAUAUAUUAAAACCGAGAAAUUUCGUUAUGUUGAAAUUAAUUUAAAAGACGAAUAUUUUUUCUUCAAGAUAAAUGAAUUUCGAUUUUAUUUUUUACCAAUGUUAAAGGCUUUGAAAUUCAAAAAUUAAGAAAACCACAUGUGUACGAUCAAUUUUGCGGUUGACCGUAUGUACGAAUAUACAGACAUGAUCGUUUGAAUUUUAUAUUUUAAAACCCGAAUGAAUAGCACAAACUCCAAAGGUAAGAUUUUCAUAUUCAACACAUUUGAAUCCCGCACUUUGAAUGAGAACUUUGAAUUCUUCCUGCUUGGGGAAUUUACGUAUACUUUCUAUCAAAUAUUGAUAUGGCUGCCAUUGACUAGCUAGAACUUGACCCAUCGGAGGGAUCACUUGAAAUGAGUACUGGUCAUAGAUCCUGAAAAGAAAAAAACAGACAAUGAUUUUUUUUGGAAGUGUAAUGUUUUUCAUUUGAAGUGGCUCAAAUUAAUUUUGGUGAGAGCAUAACAGAGCUGCAAGCACGAAUAAUUUCAUAUUCUAUUAUUUUUAUGAAAAUUAAAAAAUAUAGCAAGAGGGAAACUGUUGAUUCUAAGCCUAUUAAAAUGUAGUUUUUAAA
Uranotaenia lowii is the source of this 933-nucleotide long non-coding RNA. RefSeq lists it as uncharacterized. Lineage: Eukaryota; Metazoa; Arthropoda; Insecta; Diptera; Culicidae. The record is from RefSeq and is a predicted model, not a curated record. The transcript has 3 exons.